GAAAUUGGACCAAUGGAAAUUAUGUUCAGUGGCUUGCAGAUGUACCUAAUUAACCAGCCAGAUUAGAAGGGUCUAGGAUUCCUUUGUAAGGCGCAGCAAAAAAGACAAUCAGAUACAAUAUCAGGGAUCUUCUGGUAAGGCUUCUGGCUACCAUUAGUUCUGAAUAGAGAGGAUUUGAUGAGAAAAAUGGCUGUGAGUUUUGAAAUGUCUUUGAGGUAAUUAUAGAUAUAUUCCCCAAAAUCAUUUAAAAGGAAUUGGCGACAAUGCAGCGGUAGCUACCGGAUCCCGUGCCUCGGCAGGUGAAGCUACCGGAUCCCGUGCCUCGGCAGGUGAAGCAGCCACCCGUAAUGCCACUGCAAGCAUCACGACUGGCCCAAAUACCUUAGGUGGAGCAACCGGAUCCCGUGCCUCAGAAGCAGUCACCCACAAUGCCUCAGCAAGUGUCACGACUGGCCCAAAUACCUUAGCUGAAGCAACUGGCCAUGGUGCCUCGGUAGUGG
This 500-nucleotide long non-coding RNA is filed under the name Oncorhynchus kisutch (coho salmon). RNAcentral's name for it is "lncRNA (ENSOKIG00005042360.1)". Lineage: Eukaryota; Metazoa; Chordata; Actinopteri; Salmoniformes; Salmonidae. The record is from RNAcentral.